AGCUUUGCGCAGUGGCAGUAUCGUAGCCAAUGAGGUUUAACCGAGGCGCGAUUAUUGCUAAUUGAAAACUUUUCCCAAUACCCCGUCAUGACGACUUGAAAUAUAGUCGGCAUUGGCAAUUUUUGACAGUCUCUACGGAGA
This 141-nucleotide small nuclear RNA is filed under the name Phascolarctos cinereus (koala). Its description in RNAcentral is "U4 spliceosomal RNA (ENSPCIG00000035711.1)". It matches the Rfam family "U4 spliceosomal RNA". From Rfam's summary of the family: U4 small nuclear RNA (U4 snRNA) is a component of the major U2-dependent spliceosome. The record is from Rfam by way of RNAcentral. Lineage: Eukaryota; Metazoa; Chordata; Mammalia; Diprotodontia; Phascolarctidae.